This 427-nucleotide ribosomal RNA is filed under the name uncultured Tatumella sp. RNAcentral's name for it is "bacterial SSU rRNA". It matches the Rfam family "Bacterial small subunit ribosomal RNA", at positions 355 to 774 of the family's 1533-position model. Lineage: Bacteria; Pseudomonadati; Pseudomonadota; Gammaproteobacteria; Enterobacterales; Erwiniaceae. The record is from RNAcentral.
UGGGGAAUAUUGCACAAUGGGCGCAAGCCUGAUGCAGCCAUGCCGCGUGUAUGAAGAAGGCCUUCGGGUUGUAAAGUACUUUCAGCGAGGAGGAAGGCAGUCGUGUUAAUAGCGCGAUUGAUUGACGUUACUCGCAGAAGAAGCACCGGCUAACUCCGUGCCAGCAGCCGCGGUAAUACGGAGGGUGCAAGCGUUAAUCGGAAUUACUGGGCGUAAAGCGCACGCAGGCGGUCUGUCAAGUCGGAUGUGAAAUCCCCGGGCUCAACCCGGGAACUGCAUUCGAAACUGGCAGGCUAGAGUCUUGUAGAGGGGGGUAGAAUUCCAGGUGUAGCGGUGAAAUGCGUAGAGAUCUGGAGGAAUACCGGUGGCGAAGGCGGCCCCCUGGACAAAGACUGACGCUCAGGUGCGAAAGCGUGGGGAGCAAACA